RNAcentral lists this ribosomal RNA (253 nucleotides) under uncultured bacterium. RNAcentral's name for it is "partial 16S ribosomal RNA". It matches the Rfam family "Bacterial small subunit ribosomal RNA", at positions 524 to 776 of the family's 1533-position model. The record is from RNAcentral.
UACAGAGGUCCCAAGCGUUGUUCGGAUUUACUGGGCGUAAAGGGUGCGUAGGUGGUUGGGUAAGUCUGAUGUGAAAUCUCCGGGCUCAACCCGGAAAUGGCAUUGGAUACUAUUUGACUAGAGGGUUGGAGGGGGGACUGGAAUACUUGGUGUAGCAGUGAAAUGCGUAGAUAUCAAGUGGAACACCAGUGGCGAAGGCGAGUCCCUGGACAACUCCUGACACUGAGGCACGAAAGCUAGGGGAGCAAACGGG